AGUUGCAAUACAGCAAUGUGGAGCGAAUCUCAAAAAGAUAGUCUCAGUUCGGACUGUGGGCUGCAACCCGCCCACACGAAGUCGGAGUUGCUAGUAAUCCCGAAUCAGCAUGUCGGGGUGAAUGCGUUCCCGGGUCUUGUACACACCGCCCGUCACGCCAUGGGAGUCGGAAGUGCCCAAAGUCGGUGACCUAACCGCAAGGAAGGAGCCGCCUAAGGUAAUGCCGAUGACUGGGGUGAAGUCGUAACAAGGUAAC
Molecule: ribosomal RNA, 256 nt
Filed under: uncultured bacterium
Lineage: Bacteria
Description: partial 16S ribosomal RNA
Rfam family: Bacterial small subunit ribosomal RNA
Source: RNAcentral